This is a long non-coding RNA of Lemur catta (Ring-tailed lemur), 596 nucleotides long. RefSeq lists it as uncharacterized. The record is from RefSeq and is a predicted model, not a curated record. NCBI's taxonomy places the organism in Eukaryota, Metazoa, Chordata, Mammalia, Primates, Lemuridae. The transcript is spliced from 4 exons.
AGUCAGACGCUGCAGCCGUCCAAGGCGCGCCGCCAGCCGCCGGGUUUGAGGUCCUGAGUCUUGCUCCGUGCAGCCAGCGCUGCCCACAGGGCCUCUUUGAGAGGGACUCCAUCUCCACUCCACCUUCUCCUUCGGGAACACGUGGAUGGAGGUGAUGAAACAGCUGAAGUUGAUCACAAUGCUAAAAGAAAACCAAAAAACUCCUACUUAAAUGGAAGGACUUUUAGGUGAGACGAAUCAGUCAACUGUUCCCACCUGUACCAGCCGGAGGAACGAUAAAACAGAUCGGAAGGAAUCUCACCUCUGCAUCUGAAAGGACUGGGCUAAAGCACACAAGCUGCAGACACCGUGGCCGCGAGUCUUCCUGUGAUUUUCAUCUACUGGUGACAUGAACAGAGCGGGAAGAUGCGGGCCCCGGCUGACCCUGAAGUCCUGGCUUUCUUCUGCGGUUCCCGUGCGCAGCACACCCAGGACUUUCUGUCCGUUUCUGGUGUCCGAGUGGAUGGAGCCCAGCUGGCCUGCUGCCUCCUAAUAACCUUGUAAUGACUCUUCGGAUUCUUGGAGACAAUUAGUGUGACUCCUGAGCCAUCGCAUCA